AGCAGCCGCGGUAAUUCCAGCUCCAAUAGCGUAUAUUAAAGUUGUUGCAGUUAAAAAGCUCGUAGUUGAAUUUCGGGAUCAGUACGCUGGUCGUGCCUCUGGUAUGUACUGGUGUCACUGAUUCCUACCUUCUGACGAACCGUCAUGUCAUUAAUUUGGUGUGGCGGGGAAUCAGGACUGUUACUUUGAAAAAUUAGAGUGUUUAAAGCAGGCUCGCGCUUGAAUACAUUAGCAUGGAAUAAUGAAAUAGGACGUUCGAUCCUAUUUUGUUGGUUUCUAGGAUUGACGUAAUGAUUAAUAGGGAUAGUUGGGGGCAUUAGUAUUCAAUUGUCAGAGGUGAAAUUCUUGGAUUUAUUGAAGACUAACUACUGCGAAAGCAUUUGCCAAGGAUGUUUUCAUUAAUCAAGAACGAAAGUUAGGGGAUCGAAGACGAUCAGAUACCGUCGUAGU
RNAcentral lists this ribosomal RNA (450 nucleotides) under uncultured Glomus. RNAcentral's name for it is "SSU rRNA". It matches the Rfam family "Eukaryotic small subunit ribosomal RNA", at positions 569 to 1024 of the family's 1831-position model. Lineage: Eukaryota; Fungi; Glomeromycota; Glomeromycetes; Glomerales; Glomeraceae. The record is from RNAcentral.